AAAUAGAGCAGAGCAUGAACAGAGUUA
RNAcentral lists this non-coding RNA (27 nucleotides) under Cricetulus griseus (Chinese hamster). The record is from RNAcentral. Lineage: Eukaryota; Metazoa; Chordata; Mammalia; Rodentia; Cricetidae.